Chelonoidis abingdonii (Abingdon island giant tortoise) is the source of this 94-nucleotide unclassified non-coding RNA. Lineage: Eukaryota; Metazoa; Chordata; Testudines; Testudinidae. The record is from Ensembl.
CAGAAGAGGUACAGUAUAGGCAGAUUCUGUGCAAGCUUCCUCACAUCAUCCUGCCAAUGCACUUUAACCCUGAGCUGGAGAGACUACCUUUAAA